AGUGGACGCUGGCGGUAGGCCUAACACAUGCAAGUCGAACGGCAGCACAGUAAGAGCUUGCUCUUACGGGUGGCGAGUGGCGGACGGGUGGGGAAUACAUCGGAAUCUACUUUUUCGUGGGGGAUAACGUAGGGAAACUUACGCUAAUACCGCAUACGACCUACGGGUGAAAGCAGGGGAUCUUCGGACCUUGCGCGAUUGAAUGAGCCGAUGUCGGAUUAGCUAGUUGGCGGGGUAAAGGCCCACCAAGGCGACGAUCCGUAGCUGGUCUGAGAGGAUGAUCAGCCACACUGGAACUGAGACACGGUCCAGACUCCUACGGGAGGCAGCAGUGGGGAAUAUUGGACAAUGGGCGCAAGCCUGAUCCAGCCAUACCGCGUGGGUGAAGAAGGCCUUCGGGUUGUAAAGCCCUUUUGUUGGGAAAGAAAAGCAGCAGGUUAAUACCCCGCUGUUCUGACGGUACCCAAAGAAUAAGCACCGGCUAACUUCGUG
RNAcentral lists this ribosomal RNA (492 nucleotides) under uncultured bacterium. Its description in RNAcentral is "partial 16S ribosomal RNA". It matches the Rfam family "Bacterial small subunit ribosomal RNA", at positions 29 to 507 of the family's 1533-position model. The record is from RNAcentral.